AACAUUUUUUCCAUUGAAAAUAAAUUUUUAAAUCUAAAAUAGAACACAAAUUAUUAAAUUUUUUUAGAACAAUUCAUGAAAUUAAAUUUAGUAUUUACUGAAUCCUCAACGAGAUUUUAACCGACCAAGCGGCCUUAUUUCUUUAUUUUUUUUUUGCCUAAAUUUAAUUAAAUUGAUUGCCUUCUGGCCGAUGACGAAAUCGUCGAUAGAUUGUCGUUUUGCUAGUCGCGUGCGGAGCGAGCGAAUGAAUGGGAAAGGGGGAUGCGCUUGGCGAAAUGUGACGUCACGAGAGUGAGGUGCAAAAUAAUUGUGCGUGCAGUUUGCUGCUUUUUAUUCGCUCACCUGUCCCCACUCGGAACAAAUCUCGCCGCCGUUUCUCUCAGCCGUGUGCAUUUCGCGUGUAGUGGCAUAGCUAGUGUGUGGUUUAGAUUAAGCUUUAGUCGCAUUUUAGGAGUAGUGGGGACCAUUUUUUGUGAACAGGAAAGACACAAACGCGCUUUAAACAUGUUGAGCAUAUACAAAACAAAGGAGAGCCCGUCGUACAUACACUUGUGAGUGGCAAACGCAAUUCUGCACCCAAUUGAAUCCUCGUUGACUCUCGAAUUACAGCCAAUCUAAGAUAAUCAAACGAAUCUCGCAAUUAAUUAUGUGUAAUUUCUUCAACAGAUUGCAGCCUUGAAAAAUUUAUUCAACUAUUUCACAAGGACCAAAAUCAACAAACAUUUUUAUUUAGAAAUAUCUUUAAAAUAAAAUUUUUUAAAAAUAUUAAACUUUUAAUGUAUAUUUUUAAUAACAAAAUUCUACAGCUUUCAAUAGAACCAAAAUGGGCGAUUUUUUUUAAUAUUUUUUAUAUUUUAUAAAAUUUUUUCCAAAAUUUGUACAAAAACAAAUUUAAUAAAUCGUUGGGAGUUUUAUUUGAAAAUUAUUAAUUAAUAGGUCUG
Molecule: long non-coding RNA, 941 nt
Organism: Neocloeon triangulifer
Lineage: Eukaryota; Metazoa; Arthropoda; Insecta; Ephemeroptera; Baetidae
Exons: 3
Source: RefSeq, a predicted model, not a curated record